AUGGGACUGACCACUAUGGCUGGAGGGAGGAUAGACUCAAGUUCAGCGGGCACAUCAGGGUAGUAGAUAAGUGAGAGGGAGUUGGCCUUCACAUUACAGUCUCCAGGGUGAUAGGUGAUGGUGAAUUUAAAUCUUGUGAAGAAGCAGUUUGUAAGUGUUUUUGCCUCGUUUUCUCAUUAGACUACUGCGUGAUCAUCGUUGCUAGGGAAACUUUGCUUUAAUUACUGUGUGUCUUACCCUGGUAAAUACGUGUGAAUUGUGGCGUUUGGUUUUGCGUUUGCCUAUCGCGGGACUGGACAGUUUCGGUCUGCUAAAUAGGGAGGCGUGACAAUAGCCAGUAAGCCGGUAAAAAGUACUUAAAGAGCUGUUCUGUAAGCGCUUGUCAGAAGAAACAGUCGAGCGACAGAGAAGGACAGCAGUUUGUAAGUGUUUUUGCCUCGUUUUCUCAUUAGACUACUGCGUGAUCAUCGUUGCUAGGGAAACUUUGCUUUAAUUACUGUGUGUCUUACCCUGGUAAAUACGUGUGAAUUGUGGCGUUUGGUUUUGCGUUUGCCUAUCGCGGGACUGGACAGUUUCGGUCUGCUAAAUAGGGAGGCGUGACAAUAGCCAGUAAGCCGGUAAAAAAGUACUUAAAGAGCUGUUCUGUAAGCGCUUGUCAGAAGAAACAGUCGAGCGACAGAGAAGGACAGCAGUUUGUAAGUGUUUUUUUGCCUCGUUUUUCUCAUUAGACUACUGCGUGAUCAUCGUUGCUAGGGAAACUUUGCUUUAAUUACUGUGUGUCUUACCCUGGUAAAUACGUGUGAAUUGUGGCGUUUGGUUUUGCGCUUUGCCUAUCGCGGGACUGGACAGUUUCGGUCUGCUAAAUAGGGAGGCGUGACAAGCUGACUUCAAUCACAGGUAAUCAGGCAAAUAUAUAAGUGGUAGGUGUCAGCGGUCGCGGCAGCCCUCGUGUGAAGCCUCCUCGUGUGAAGACCGACGAGUGUAAAGACCAUCGACUCUACCUGCGCGACUCCACCGAGCAAGGACACCGACAGGGCACUUGAGUAUUGCUUUUCUCGCCUUCAUUUUUUGUACAGCUCAUCCUCAAAUACUUAUUUUUGGACACUUGUAUUCACUAUGUGCUUUCAGAUCUCUACUAUCACUACUAACACUGGAGAGCUUCAGGACGCGCAAACGGGGGAAGCGAGCUGGUGCGCUCGUUAGACUCAGGAAGCGCGGAUUUCGAACGCCGUUGCCUAGCAUCCAUCUGGCAAAUCUCCGCUCUCUACCCAACAAAACGGACGAAAUCCUUCUGCUCUCUCAGACAAAUAAGGAUUUCUCACACUCUGCUGCUCUGUGUUUCACGGAAACCUGGCUCAAUGACGCCAUACUGGACAGCGCGCUCCAUCUGCCGGGCUUUCAGCUGUUCAGAGCGGAUCGCGACGCAGAAUCAACGGGGAAAUCGCGCGGCGGCGGGACAUGCUUUUACAUCAAUGAACGGUGGUGUACAG
This is a long non-coding RNA of Cyprinus carpio carpio, 1490 nucleotides long. The record is from Ensembl. NCBI's taxonomy places the organism in Eukaryota, Metazoa, Chordata, Actinopteri, Cypriniformes, Cyprinidae.